CCUUAAUUUUUUUUUCAAUUUUAAAGCGGGAUAAGUGUCAUCAGUUGGGUAAGCUUGGGUUAAGUUUAACUAAUGCGUCAUAAAGCUAUCUUAUUCAUAAUAUAUCAUACGUUAUAAUAAAACAUGUCAUGAAAGAUCCAAUACAGACUGACUACAUGUUUUUAUUGACUGGUUUACAGAUUGAGAAACGCAGCAUAUAGUCCAUGAACAUGAUACAAGAGUUCUUGUUGCCGGGAUCUAUCUGGACAACAUGUCUUGCUGCUAUAGUUACUGGUCUUGUUGUGAAUUGGAUGAUACAAAAAUGGAAAUGUAAAUACCCACCUGGGCCUCCAGCAUUGCCGCUCAUUGGAAAUAUGCUGCAAAUCGACAAAAAGAUAUGCAUGAACAAGCAUUUGAGUGGUCAAAGAAAUAUGGGCCUCUCGUUACAGUUAAAAUAGGAACCUUUCAAGUGGUCUUUGUUAACUCAAUAGAUGCCGCUUUGGAGGUAUUGGUCAAAAAGUCAACGGACUUUGCUUUGAGAGUACUUACUCCAUCUCGUAAGCUGGAUUAAAGUCGUAUUCAUUCUGUGUGUGCCCUAUAAUUACUGUGGCAACAUUUCAGCCGAACUGGCAAUAGUAAUUAACGAUCGUAGGUCAAUUUACUGUUGAUAUUUGAAGUGAUUAGAAAUCGUUUUAGUCGAAGCAACUAACACUCAACCAUAGAGACACUAACCAUAUAGGUAGUUCUUGUACUUUAAGAGCCGCCAGUUUGUAUUCUGUCUAUUAAAUUACAUUAUUUUCAACCUCUAAUUACAUUCAUUAUAUCUGGAGUGAUUGGCAAACAGACUGGGUACAGUAUUUUACCUUAUAUCUAUAAAAUAUUUUUGAUAUUGUUUCAAUUACCUUUUCCAUUGUGUUGUUUUUCAAGUUGAUAUUUUAACUUACGGCGGGAAAAACAUUGGGUUUAGUAACUACGGACCAACGUGGAAAUUACACAGAAAAAUUGCAACCAAGGCU
Molecule: long non-coding RNA, 995 nt
Organism: Ruditapes philippinarum (Manila clam)
Lineage: Eukaryota; Metazoa; Mollusca; Bivalvia; Venerida; Veneridae
Exons: 3
Source: RefSeq, a predicted model, not a curated record